This 836-nucleotide ribosomal RNA is filed under the name uncultured bacterium. RNAcentral's name for it is "bacterial SSU rRNA". It matches the Rfam family "Bacterial small subunit ribosomal RNA", at positions 8 to 839 of the family's 1533-position model. The record is from RNAcentral.
AGAGUUUGAUCCUGGCUCAGAUUGAACGCUGGCGGCAUGCCUUACACAUGCAAGUCGAACGGUAACGGGCCUUCGGGUGCCGACGAGUGGCGAACGGGUGAGUAAUGUAUCGGAACGUACCUUUCAGUGGGGGAUAACGUAGCGAAAGUUACGCUAAUACCGCAUAUUCUGUGAGCAGGAAAGCAGGGGAUCGCAAGACCUUGCGCUGAUUGAGCGGCCGAUAUCAGAUUAGCUAGUUGGUGAGGUAAAGGCUCACCAAGGCGACGAUCUGUAGCGGGUCUGAGAGGAUGAUCCGCCACACUGGAACUGAGACACGGUCCAGACUCCUACGGGAGGCAGCAGUGGGGAAUUUUGGACAAUGGGGGCAACCCUGAUCCAGCCAUGCCGCGUGAGUGAAGAAGGCCUUCGGGUUGUAAAGCUCUUUCGGCCGGGAAGAAAUCGUAUGGGUUAAUACCCUGUGCGGAUGACGGUACCGGCAUAAGAAGCACCGGCUAACUACGUGCCAGCAGCCGCGGUAAUACGUAGGGUGCGAGCGUUAAUCGGAAUUACUGGGCGUAAAGCGUGCGCAGGCGGUUUUGUAAGACAGGCGUGAAAUCCCCGGGCUCAACCUGGGAACUGCGCUUGUGACUGCAAGGCUAGAGUACGGCAGAGGGGGGGUGGAAUUCCACGUGUAGCAGUGAAAUGCGUAGAGAUGUGGAGGAACACCAAUGGCGAAGGCAGCCCCCUGGGUCGAUACUGACGCUCAUGCACGAAAGCGUGGGUAGCAAACAGGAUUAGAUACCCUGGUAGUCCACGCCCUAAACGAUGUCAACUAGGUGUUGGGUGGGUAAAACCAU